RNAcentral lists this ribosomal RNA (527 nucleotides) under Torulaspora globosa. RNAcentral describes it as "eukaryotic LSU rRNA". It matches the Rfam family "Eukaryotic large subunit ribosomal RNA", at positions 107 to 647 of the family's 3401-position model. The record is from RNAcentral. Lineage: Eukaryota; Fungi; Ascomycota; Saccharomycetes; Saccharomycetales; Saccharomycetaceae.
GCUCAAAUUUGAAAUCUGGUACCUUCGGUGCCCGAGUUGUAAUUUGUAGAAGGUAACUUUGGGGCUGGUCCUUGUCUAUGUUCCUUGGAACAGGACGUCAUAGAGGGUGAGAAUCCCGUGUGGCGAGGAUCCCAGUUCUAUGUAAAGUGCUUUCGAAGAGUCGAGUUGUUUGGGAAUGCAGCUCUAAGUGGGUGGUAAAUUCCAUCUAAAGCUAAAUAUUGGCGAGAGACCGAUAGCGAACAAGUACAGUGAUGGAAAGAUGAAAAGAACUUUGAAAAGAGAGUGAAAAAGUACGUGAAAUUGUUGAAAGGGAAGGGCAUUUGAUCAGACAUGGUGUUUUGCGCCCUCUGCUCCUCGUGGGUGGGGGAAUCUCGCAGCUCACUGGGCCAGCAUCAGUUUUGGCGGUAGGAUAAAUCUGCAGGAAUGUAGCUUGCUUCGGCAAGUGUUAUAGCCUGUUGAAAUACUGCCAGCCGGGACUGAGGACUGCGACUUUUAGUCAAGGAUGCUGGCAUAAUGGUUAUAUGCCG